CUAGGCUCACUUGCUUAAGUCUACUUCUUCACAAUUUUGUAAUUUUUCACUCCUUUGUUAGCAGUCGGAUGCUUUCAAGCAGCUGUUUUUGUUUUUCCAAGCUUCUUUCUCUCUCUUUCCUUCCUUCCUUCCUUCCUCCUUCCUUACCUUUUCCUUUCCUUUUCCCCACCCCCGUCUCUCUCUCUCUCUCCCCAAGCAGCUGUUUUUGUUUUUCCAAGCUUCUUUCUCUCUUUCUCUUUCUUUAUUUCUCUGUCUCCCUCCGUCUUGUCUUUUCCUUUUCUUUUCUGUUGAGAUGGAGACUCACUCUGUCUGCACAUACCACCACACCCAGCUAAUUUUUUAUAUUUUUAGUGGAGACAGGGUUUCGCCAUGUUGGCCGGGUUAGUCUCGAACUCCUGACCUUAGGUGAUCCACCCACCUCGGCCUCCCAAAGUGCUGGGAUUGUAGGCAUGAGCCACUGCGCCCAGCCUGUUUUGCCAAGCUUUUCUGGUUGUUUUCCUUCAGUGAGAGAGUUGAUGGAUAUUACCUAGUCUGCCAUUACUGGACAUCAUUCUUUUUUACUCCAGCUUCUGAUCCUUAUAUAUAUUUUAUCUUAUAGGAAUGUGUACUAUUUAGUUUGCUUCCUUGUAAGAAGCUUUCAAAUGUCUCAUUUGCUGGUGCCUGUUCAAUUAAGCUUUGGAUAACAGUACAAAAUUUGGCCAACAUGAAUGCCUAGUUCACCGCUAAUGAAAGCUGGGCACUGCAAAUGUUCUGCUAUGCUCCAGAAAUCAGAAGUUGCCAGCUUUUAUAUCUAGACUGUGAUUUCCUCAUAGAGGAUUUUGUACAUGCCAAUUCAAAGUUUAAAUUUGUGCCAUGUGUGAAUAAGUGCACAAAAUGCUCAAAUAAGAAUGAGAAAAAUAUCUCCUUUUCCCAUCCACAUUGAGAUACCUGAAACAACUAUGAAAUACAGUUUUUCUUCCAGUUUUCCGAAAUACUUAUCUGGGUUGAGACCAAGAAUGGAGCAUUUUAGGCCAAAAUGCUUUUUUAAAAUUUUAUGAUUUAUGAGUUUAGAAAAAAUCUCUUUUGGACUUUAAGCAUAUGUUAUUUUUAGGAUAUCUUAUUCAUGAAUAAAACAAAUUUUUUACAUAGGUGAAAUAAUUUAGGUGUUUGUAUAUUAUGAGUCAGUUAUUUCUAUAAUAUAUGACUAGUUUAUAUUUGUAGUUUUUCAGUUACAUUCAGUAGCCCACAUUUGUUUAGUAACAGAAUUAACAAAAAUUGCUGUUAUUAUUUUGAGUUAAUUUUCAACUCGUAUUUUUAAUUUGCUAAAUACAUUCUAGCACUAUUAUAUUGUCAGAGACCUUAAUUCAAGUCUUUAAAUAUUUAAUAAAAUUAUGUGAAAAAUUGAAAUUAUUUGAUGUUUUAAUUUUGAUUGCUCUGGACAAAGACAGUAUUUCCAUCUUGAUGCUUCAGGAUAAAAAUUGCGUUAAACAAUACUUGAAUUUAAAUGUGGUUUAAAAUAUUUCUUAAUUCUAAAGCUCUCUGUAGUUCCUAUUUUCUAAGCAAUAUUAGCUAUAUUGGAUCUUCUAGAUGAAGAAAGAUUUGACUAUGAUUAAAUAUGUGCAGUGCCAUCCUGGAAUAGAUUUUAUUCAUAGAUUAAUAAAAUAUGUGCAGCAUGAUUUAGGAGAAAAUAUUUUAGGACAUUAAAUUUAGUUACAUAAGCUACAGUCUUUUAAAUUCUGUGCAACUAAAAUCUGUUUUGCUUUAAAAAGAAAAAAUGUUCAAAUUUCACUGGGAAAUGUAGAGUAUUUGUUUUCCAAGACGAUCAAAAUCAUACCCAAUCAUACUUUUAGGAAAUUUUCAAAAUACUAGAUAUAGCCUUUCAACUUAAUGACGAUUGUUAUUGUCUAAUUUUCUUACCUGCACUUACCAGUAUUCAGAACACUCUGAUUUGGUUACAUGUUUCUUAUAGUACCUCCUUGGUUCAAAUGUAAUUCUUUUCUGAUAUUGAAUAAACUGUAAUGUCAAGGA
RNAcentral lists this long non-coding RNA (2007 nucleotides) under Homo sapiens (human). RNAcentral's name for it is "HSALNT0357113". Lineage: Eukaryota; Metazoa; Chordata; Mammalia; Primates; Hominidae. The record is from RNAcentral.